CAGUAGCCGCGGUAACACGUGAGGUGCGAGCGUUAAUCGGAAUUACUGGGCGUAAAGCGUGCGCAGGCGGUUAUAUAAGACGGUUGUGAAAUCCCCGGGCUCAACCUGGGAACUGCAUCUGUGACUGUAUAGCUAGAGUACGGUAGAGGGGGAUGGAAUUCCGCGUGUAGCAGUGAAAUGCGUAGAUAUGCGGAGGAACACCGAUGGCGAAGGCAAUCCCCUGGACCUGUACUGACGCUCAUGCACGAAAGCGUGGGGAGCAAACAGGAUUAGAUACCCCUGUAGUCCCUGUCUCUUAUAC
Molecule: ribosomal RNA, 301 nt
Filed under: uncultured bacterium
Lineage: Bacteria
Description: partial 16S ribosomal RNA
Rfam family: Bacterial small subunit ribosomal RNA
Source: RNAcentral